CUACGGGGUGCUCCAGUCGAGAAUAGUCUACAAUGGACGAAAGUCUGAUAGUGCGACGCCGCGUGGAUGAAGAAGCAUUUCGGUGUGUAAAGUCCUUUUCUGUGUGAGCAAUGUUUUCCAGGUUAAUAGCUUGGAGAAAGCGAUAUUAACACAGGAAUAAGCUCCGGCUAACUCCGUGCCAGCAGCCGCGGUAACACGGGGGGAGCAAGCGUUGUCCGGAAUUACUAGGCGUAAAGGGUAAGUAGGCGGAAUUGUAAGUCAGAUGUUAACGGCACCGGCUCAACCGGUGUAUGGCAUUUGAUACUGUAAUUCUCGAGUAAGGUGGGGGAAGACGGAAUUCCUGGUGUAGCGGUGGAAUGCGCAGAUAUCAGGAGGAACACCAGAGGCGCAGGCGGUCUUCUAUACCAUUACUGACGCUCAAUUACGAAGGUGUGGGUAUCAAACAGGAUUAGAUACCCGGGUAGUC
This 466-nucleotide ribosomal RNA is filed under the name uncultured bacterium. Its description in RNAcentral is "partial 16S ribosomal RNA". It matches the Rfam family "Bacterial small subunit ribosomal RNA", at positions 339 to 795 of the family's 1533-position model. The record is from RNAcentral.